AACGUACGCUGGCGGCACGCCUAACACAUGCAAGUCGAACGCAGUAGCAAUACUGAGUGGCAGACGGGUGAGUAACAUGUGGGAAUCUGCCUUGUGGUUCAGGACAACAUUGGGAAACCGAUGCUAAUACUGGAUAAGCCCUUACGGGGAAAGUUUUAAUGCCAUAAGAUGAGCCCGCAUUUGAUUAGUUAGUUGGUGAGGUAAUGGCUCACCAAGACAAUGAUCAAUAGCUGAUCUGAGAGGAUGAUCAGCCACACUGGGACUGAGACACGGCCCAGACUCCUACGGGAGGCAGCAGUGGGGAAUCUUGCACAAUGGAGGAAACUCUGAUGCAGCGGUGCCGCGUGAGUGAAGAAGGCCUUUGGGUUGUAAAGCUCUUUUGUAGGGGAAGAUAAUGACUGUACCCUAAGAAUAAGGUCCGGCUAACUUCGUG
Molecule: ribosomal RNA, 433 nt
Filed under: uncultured bacterium
Lineage: Bacteria
Description: bacterial SSU rRNA
Rfam family: Bacterial small subunit ribosomal RNA
Source: RNAcentral